Long non-coding RNA from Nilaparvata lugens (brown planthopper), 1297 nucleotides. RefSeq lists it as uncharacterized. The record is from RefSeq and is a predicted model, not a curated record. The transcript has 3 exons. NCBI's taxonomy places the organism in Eukaryota, Metazoa, Arthropoda, Insecta, Hemiptera, Delphacidae.
UGAUAGUAGCCCUUGUGCGUUCUCCUUUUUCUGUCCUUGUCCUUUAUAAUGAAUUUUCAAUAGCAUUUCUCUUUCACUUUCUCCCUUCCUCUUCGAUUUUAUUCUCGCAGAAUAUUAUCAGUUACGUAGGCCUUCUGACCAAGAUUAUCGUGCCUCUGCUUUGCUCAUUUAGUCUGUCCUGAAUCAUGGUACGAUACAGACAUAUUCGGUGGAAUUAGUUUUUUUUUAGGGAGAAUUUUCUCCUAUUUCUUUAAAAAUGUGAAAAGUAAAUAUCUUAAUUAAUUACUAAAUGAAAAUGGUAGUCAGUCUGUGAAAGUUUCCUCCGUUUUUAGUUUUCUUCAUAUGUUAAAAUACCACAGUCAUUAGUGAAACAGAAAUGUAAAAUCUUCAAAUUUGUGACCAAAUCCGCUUUAAAAAACGGUCCCAGCUUUACCACUACCAGAAUUUCAACUACAGGCAAUCCAGACUUCAACUUUAGAUCAACUGCCUUCCUGGUUCCUAUAGCUUCAAAUUCACAUGAGAGCUCCGUUUCAAGUCGCCUACAAUUCGCCACCUGGAUUACGAGCAAAUUACAAAAAGGAUUAGUAAUCCAGCAGAUCCAGCCCAAAAUCAGAAGAAGAUAGGGAUUUCUGGGGGAAGUUAAUUUGUGUGCGAAAUGAAAUAAUACGUGAAAAUUAUAUUGAUUGUGAAAAGUUUCAAAUAAAUACAUCGAUAAUCUAAAAUAAUACAAGUGUUUGGGGCCCCUCACUUCUGCGAUAUGUGCAUACAGCGGUCCCAGCUUUACCACUACCAGAAUUUCAACUACAGGCCAUCCAGACUACAACUUUAUCAUCAACUGCCUUCCUGUUCCUAUAGCUUCAAAUUCACAUAAGAGCUCCGUUCGAAGUCGCCUACAAUUCACCACCUGGAUUACGAGCAAAUUACAAAAAGGAUUAUAAUCCAGCAGAUCCAGCCCAAAAUCAGAAGAAGAUAGGGAUUUCUGGGGGAAGUUAAUUUGUGCGCGAAAAAAUUAAACAUGAAAAUUAUAUGAGUGUGAAAAGUUUUCAAAUAAAUACAUCGAUAAUCUAAAAUAAUACAAGUGUUUGGGGCUCCUCACUUCUGUGAUAUGUGCAUACAGGUAUUUGUAGAAUUUAAAAUUUAUAAUUUCUAAAAUUUAUUAAUUCGUAAAAUCUUUAAACCGUUAUUAAUAUUGUAAAGUUUGAAUUCUGGGGAAUAUUCAUCUCAAAUAGUUUUUUGUAUUGCUCUUUAAUAUUUUUCUGUUUUUUGUAAAUUAUACAACUGACUACCACUACUGUUU